UUGUGUGUUACCAAUAAAUAUCUGCAAAGAAAAAUAAAUAAUAAGAAUGUAAUUUCUUACAUGAUAUUGAAUAAUUCGAAACAGGUGAGGUUAAACUGUAUACUACUACUACUUUAUUCAUUAUGCGAUGCUAGCGUCAUCGAACAUUGUUGGGAGAAACUUCUGAAAGCACGAGGUCACGUGACACCAUGCUACCCCUAGACUCCCCACUUGCAUCGCGUGAUACUUGUCGUGCUGUGAUAUAUGUUUUUAAAUAAUCACAUUUAAAGACGACAAGUGAUAAAGUAAAUUAUUUAUAAUUAUUUUAUCAUUAAACAUUAUAGAGUUAAGUAUAUGAUGUACAUCAUGUUAAACUUGAUCAAAAGUUUCAUCAAAUUUGUAUAUUACAUACGCAAUGACAAUCAAAAUCAAAUAUAAAUAAUAAUAAUUGAAAGUUAAUUAUUAAUACAGUCAAUAAUUAUUGUGUCGAUUUAUUAAUUACAAAUUUAAAAUGGUUACUUCAUUAGCGAAUCAAUUGAAAACGCUAAGAAUUUCACAAACUACACAAUUGGCGCAAACAAGAAAAUGUUUUAGUCUGUUAUUUCAUCCUAAAGUUGGAUAAAGGUAUAUUUCAUGAGAGUAUAGUUUCUAGCCAGAACGUUGGAGGAAAUUUAAGGAGAGACAUUACAAAAAUAUUUUUAAUUGUAAUUAAUUUAUCAUUGAUUUAAUACACCAUUCUUUUAAGACAAAUUCGUUGAAAUAAACUUUAUCGUGCUUAUAUAUAAAAAUUAUGUAUGAAAAUAAACAAAAAAGAGAUGUGUACAAAUGUAUGAUAUAUAUUAAGAAAAAAAUGAUAUGUACGAAUAUAUGAUUAUGUAUGAAGAAAAAAAGAAUUUGAAUAAAGCAUCUUUUAAUCUAUUA
This is a long non-coding RNA of Polistes canadensis, 900 nucleotides long. RefSeq lists it as uncharacterized. The record is from RefSeq and is a predicted model, not a curated record. NCBI's taxonomy places the organism in Eukaryota, Metazoa, Arthropoda, Insecta, Hymenoptera, Vespidae. The transcript has 2 exons.